GACGAACGCUGGCGGCGUGCCUAAUACAUGCAAGUCGAACGAGAGCGACCGGUGCUUGCUCUGGUCAAUCUAGUGGCGAACGGGUGAGUAACACGUGGGUAACCUGCCCAUCAGAGGGGGAUAACAUCCGGAAACGGAUGCUAAAACCGCAUAGGUCUUCGAGCCGCAUGGCUUGAAGAGGAAAAGAGGCGCAAGCUUCUGCUGAUGGAUGGACCCGCGGUGCAUUAGCUAGUUGGUGAGGUAACGGCUCACCAAGGCCGUGAUGCAUAGCCGACCUGAGAGGGUGAUCGGCCACAUUGGGACUGAGACACGGCCCAAACUCCUACGGGAGGCAGCAGUAGGGAAUCUUCCGCAAUGGACGCAAGUCUGACGGAGCAACGCCGCGUGAGUGAAGAAGGUUUUCGGAUCGUAAAACUCUGUUGUUAGAGAAGAACAAGUGCUAGAGUAACUGUUAGCGCCUUGACGGUAUCUAACCAGAAAGCCACGGCUAACUACGUG
This 498-nucleotide ribosomal RNA is filed under the name uncultured bacterium. RNAcentral's name for it is "partial 16S ribosomal RNA". It matches the Rfam family "Bacterial small subunit ribosomal RNA", at positions 28 to 507 of the family's 1533-position model. The record is from RNAcentral.